Molecule: long non-coding RNA, 890 nt
Organism: Camelus dromedarius (Arabian camel)
Lineage: Eukaryota; Metazoa; Chordata; Mammalia; Artiodactyla; Camelidae
Exons: 6
Source: RefSeq, a predicted model, not a curated record
GGGGGUUGGUCCCACCCCCGGCUCGGGGAUGACCAGGGGCUAGUUAACCAGACCAUCGCGUCCACUCUCUCUGGUCACAGCGAUGAGCAGGUCACCCGAAGUGGCCUGGUGGACUCAGUCCCAGGCCUGUCCUCCGAGCUGCGUGGAAGUCGGCUGGUGUAUGUGCAGCGCCCCAGGACGGGGUGAGCCGGGCGCGGCAGAAGCUGCCUCAGGAAACCGGCUUGAGACUGGAGGUGGAAGAAAUCAGAGCUGAGAGACUUGCUUCCAUCUUCCAGGGAGUGGAUACUUGUUAUGCACAACACUUGUUUGAAGACUGUCCUUUGAACAAUCACCAAGACCAAGAUCUUCAUGAAAACAGUGGGCUUGACUGUCAGGACCUUGGCUGCUCCGGAAGAACGUUCUUUCUUGUUCAAGCUGAAGCAUUGAGGAAACUCAACCCAAGACACUGCCAGCAGCAGAAGUAUGCUGGGAGUCAGUAAGAGUGGGACACUGGAGUUGCAUUAGCCACUGGCUGGCCGUGAGGACCUGUUCCUGGUGGUAGGGGAGACACUGAUGCUCCCCAGAAGGCUGCAGUGGUGUCGUUGCUAAGAUGUUGCUGCGACAAAUGUGGUGAACGGCAGCAAGAUACAGCGGAAGGAGAGGUGGCUCUGUGCUAUCUCUGUGGAAUCUGGAAAGUAUGAGGGGAGCAGACAUACAGAGGUGGCGGAGCCAGCUAAGAAAUCAAGAGUUCAAAAGGCAUCUUCAUAUGCAAAUUGAGACGUCUCUGACAUCCGAGAGUGACUUGCAAACAUCCUGCUCUGGCUUGUCUCCCAAGGUGGACAACAUAUUGGUGACAAAUGACAUCUCUUCCACUUUCCAUGAACACAUUUUAUUCUAAAAUUCACCCCCAC